This 2732-nucleotide long non-coding RNA is filed under the name Androctonus crassicauda. Lineage: Eukaryota; Metazoa; Arthropoda; Arachnida; Scorpiones; Buthidae. The record is from RNAcentral.
UGAUACAUUCAAUAUCAAUAAUUUUACAUUGAUUUGAUUUUAUGCUGGUAAUUUAUAAAUAAGAAUUUUAAUUAUUUUCGUUUUCUCGGAAAUAAAGUUUAUAAAUAGAAAUUCUAGAAUAAUUAUUUUGCAAAAUUCAAUUUCUUCCCGUAAAUGGCACAAGAAUAUCAUAAAGUUAAAAAGUAACCGUAAAAUGCAUUGAUAAGCAGAUGUUUUCGUUUAAUGGGGGUGUUUUCAUAAAAUUUUACGUGUUUUUCUAAAAAAUUGACACCAAGUCACGUGACGCGCCGGAUCACGUGACUUAUCCUACCGUCUAUUUAAAAAUAUCGCAUUUCCUGUUAAAAAACCCAAAUGUUUCGUUUCCUAUUACGAAAUCCUCUCGUAACUUCCCUUCGUUUAUCUUAGUCACGUUAUCGCUGGAUUUUCUAUUUAAUCAAUGAUCCGACUUAAUUAAAAAAUAAAUAUUCCUUUAACUGUAUCUUAUAUCUUGGUUUUCGAUUGGAUGUCGAAAUGGAUACGCAUGAAAAGGUAGUCUUAAGGUUGCAAAAAUGCGAACAAUAAACAAAUAGAAAUUUUUCUCGCAAUGGUUUGUGAUGGAUUAAAUUUUCGCAUAUAUAUAUAAAUAUAUAUAUAUCCUUACACCUACAUCGUAAAUGCCCGAUUGAACCAUUAGCCGGAUUUCUCAUGCGGAACGACUUCUUACGUAACUUACGAAAUGCGCUUUGGGAGGAAGAAAAGUUUCGGUAUCUUUUUAACAUACGCUUUAUCGAUGAUUUAGUAAUUUUAUAUUUGAUAAAAUUCAGUUCUUGAAUUAAAACCGCAUUCAAACAGUACCACUGUAUUCGCUAUCAAAAAAAGUGAAACGAAUAUUCAAGAAGAGUAAAUGUAAAUAAUCAGUUAGAAUUCAAUAACAAAAUUUCAAAUGCCAUGUAGUUUUGAAAGGAAGUGUUUUGCCGAGAUUGCGCGAAAUUAGCGUACAACGUGUUGCUGGAAAUUAAUAUUUUCCAUUAUGUCUAUCCGAAAUUCGCCAUAAUAAAAACGGAUCCAUAAUAUUUCCUCCCCCAUGCACAGUCCACCUUCGCUUAGUAAUUUAAAUGGUUUCCACUGUCUCCGGAAAUGAAGAAAAUGCCACCGUACGUGUGUAGAUGGUAAUUAAAAUCAUUGCGCCAUUUUUAUAAAAAAGUACUAAUUAAAGAAGAAACCUUAAGUUGAGAAGAAAAAAAAUUGACGUUAAGAAUAGUAAUGUCGAAAAAUACCAUAGUUGAACAUUCCGGAAGUGAUACUGAAAUAUAAGGCAUUCGUAAGCCAAUCUGUUCAGGUUUCUAGAUGCAAGUCAACCGUUGACUUUAUCGCACAGGUGUCGAAUAUGGUUAUGUCAAUAAUUGCCAUAGUUGGCGUAAAAAAUAAACCGUAAUACGUUCAUAUUUUUUUUCACCCAUUUACAGUUAGAAUUUAUAUUUUUCCAAAUCCAGAAAAUCGAAAAGACGUUUUGAAAUACACGGAACAUUUUAAAAUGAUUAGUAAAUGACGACACGUAACACUGUGUUGUAAUGGUCCUUAUUACCGCAUUCUCAAAGUUUCAGGUAUUGAUAAUUCUAUAAAAUUCGAUUGGAGAAAAAAUAAAUAAUGGAAAAAAUGUACCCGUUCCUCCCAGACGCAAACAAGAAUCGAUUGAAUGAUUGAAAAUAGAGUUUUAUACAUACAUAAAAUCACACCCAAUUCGUUGUUUAAAGAAGUGAAAAAAAAAGCAGACGGAAAGGAAAACUUCUUUUUCAAUAAUCGCAUUCUCAUCAGUAACCAUGGCAACGAUAUUAUUUCCUGUUUUGUUCAGACGAGGGGGGAAAAAAGUCUAGAUGAAGCCGAGGCGGUAAAAGACACCGAACAUCCUCGGGGUCGGAUUCGACCAUUUCGUUAAUUCCAGAGGGGGUGGCCGAAUUUGAGGAUGAUGCGACGGCCCGGUCGAUUAAACAGUUCUUUAAACUCCUAAUGGACAGGACUCGGUGACGUCGAGGCUAGACCGAAUACCGUUAGUUUUUAAAGCAUCUGGUGCCGCUUUAUGGAUCCGUCUUUUGCUCUUUCUAAAAUUGAAACCGGUCACUAAUCGGUCGAAAUUUCAGAUGUAGGUUACAGACACAUGUUGAUUUCAAUAAGAUGAAAAAAAUUCGAGUCCGAAUUUUUAUUCGUUCGAUAGUCGAGCUUGAUGAAAAUUCCCUAAUUAAAUCGGGAAACAAAUUGGGAAAUGAGAUUGUUUAUUUUUAAUUCCCAGAGAAAGUUGGACUAACUUUUCACACGGUAUUUUUAAAGUGGACUUCCUAUAAUUAAUUAAAAAAAAAUCGCAUUAAAGUUGACAUUUAAAGACUGGUUGUACUAAAUUAAAAUUUUAUUGAUAAAAAUAUUAUUAGAUAAGUUUUAUAGUACAGCAUUCGAUAUAUAUAUUGUUUGUCUCUAGUAUCGAUGUUAGCUAAGCGGUGGGGGAGAUAUUUUUCUUUUCCUCUCUUUAUACUAAAUCAUCGCCAUAACAUUUUAAAGUCUUAUCACUUCUUAUGCAGUAUAUAAAUUAUUGAUCAAGAUACGUUUUAAGAGAAUAUUACCAAGAAUAUAAUCUUAUUGAUGUUUUAUAACACGAUCUAAUGUAAUUUAGAUAGAUUGUAGAGUAUUUAUAUUGCAUUUUCACCAUUUAAUUGAGAAUAAAACUUCCAACAUUUGCUAUUACUGUUUAGCUCAAUUUCGAU